RNAcentral lists this ribosomal RNA (520 nucleotides) under uncultured bacterium. Its description in RNAcentral is "partial 16S ribosomal RNA". It matches the Rfam family "Bacterial small subunit ribosomal RNA", at positions 28 to 523 of the family's 1533-position model. The record is from RNAcentral.
GACGAACGCUGGCGGCGUGCUUAACACAUGCAAGUCGAACGGACUAUUUCAUUUCGGUGGAGUAGUUAGUGGCGAACGCGUGAGUAACGCGUAGACAACCUACCUCUUAGAUGGGGACAACAUCGCGAAAGCGGUGCUAAUACCGAAUGAAGUGACUUUCCUGCAUGGGAGAGAUACUAAAGGUGGCCUCUAUUUAUAAGCUACCACUGAGAGAUUGGUCUGCGUCUGAUUAGCUAGUUGGCGGGGUAACGGCCCACCAAGGCGACGAUCAGUAGCCGGUCUGAGAGGAUGAUCAGCCACACUGGAACUGAAACACGGUCCAGACUCCUACGGGAGGCAGCAGUGGGGAAUCUUGCGCAAUGGACGAAAGUCUGACGCAGCCACGCCGCGUGAGUGAAGAAGGCCUUCGGGUUGUAAAGCUCUGUCGCCCGGGACGAAAAGCCGGUGGGUUAACAGCCCAUUGGUCUGACGGUACCGGGAAAGGAAGCACCGGCUAACUCCGUGCCAGCAGCCGCCGUAA